Molecule: ribosomal RNA, 397 nt
Filed under: uncultured bacterium
Lineage: Bacteria
Description: partial 16S ribosomal RNA
Rfam family: Bacterial small subunit ribosomal RNA
Source: RNAcentral
AUACGUAGGGGGCGAGCGUUGUCCGGAAUGAUUGGGCGUAAAGGGCGUGUAGGCGGCGCGGUAAGUCUGGAGUGAAAGUCCUGCUUUCAAGGUGGGAAUUGCUUUGGAUACUGCCGCGCUUGAGUGCAGGAGAGGUUAUCGGAAUUCCCGGUGUAGCGGUGAAAUGCGUAGAGAUCGGGAGGAACACCAGUGGCGAAGGCGGCUAACUGGACUGCGACUGACGCUGAGGCGCGAAAGGGUGGGGAGCAAACAGGAUUAGAUACCCUGGUAGUCCACGCUGUAAACGAUGAAUGCUAGGUGUAGGGGGUAUCGACCCCUUCUGUGCCGCAGUCAACACAAUAAGCAUUCCGCCUGGGGAGUACGGCCGCAAGGUUGAAACUCAAAUGAAUUGACGGGU